UGGGGAAUCUUGCGCAAUGGGCGAAAGCCUGACGCAGCGACGCCGCGUGUGUGAUGAAGGCCUUCGGGUUGUAAAGCACUGUCGCCCGGGACAAAGAAAGUGAUGGUACCGGGAAAGGAAGCACCGGCUAACUCUGUGCCAGCAGCCGCGGUAAUACAGAGGGUGCGAGCGUUGUUCGGAAUUAUUGGGCGUAAAGCGCAUGUAGGCGUUCUGCUAAGUCGCGUGUGAAAGCUCCAGGCUCAACCUGGAAAGUGCGCGCGAAACUGGCGGAAUAGAGUGCUGGAGAGGGUGGCGGAAUUCCCGGUGUAGAGGUGAAAUUCGUAGAUAUCGGGAGGAACACCAGAGGCGAAGGCGGCCACCUGGACAGUGACUGACGCUGAGAAGCGAAAGCGUGGGGAGC
This 400-nucleotide ribosomal RNA is filed under the name uncultured bacterium. Its description in RNAcentral is "bacterial SSU rRNA". It matches the Rfam family "Bacterial small subunit ribosomal RNA", at positions 355 to 769 of the family's 1533-position model. The record is from RNAcentral.